GCAGAGUAGGAUUUUAUGUGUGGCGCAGGCCGGCAGGUUCGGCAUGCGUGAGUGUCAGAAAAACGGGGAGUUGUUUUCUGAACGAAAAGACCGGCUCUGGUGCAGAAGCAUCGGCGGCCGGGUCUGCAGUAUAAGGUUCGCAUCCCGCUGC
Molecule: non-coding RNA, 151 nt
Filed under: bovine gut metagenome
Description: THF riboswitch
Rfam family: THF (Tetrahydrofolate) riboswitch aptamer
About the family: THF riboswitch presents a pseudoknot that joins P1-P2 and the loop of P3 and two THF binding.
Source: RNAcentral